Molecule: ribosomal RNA, 454 nt
Filed under: Barycholos pulcher (Chimbo frog)
Lineage: Eukaryota; Metazoa; Chordata; Amphibia; Anura; Craugastoridae
Description: partial 12S ribosomal RNA
Rfam family: Bacterial small subunit ribosomal RNA
Source: RNAcentral
GCUUAACCGUAAACUUUUAUUUACUAAUACAUCGCCAGAGAAUUACGAGCUAAGCUUAAAACCCAAAGGACUUGACGGUGUCCCAUAUCCCCCUAGAGGAGCCUGUCCCAUAAUCGAUGAUCCCCGCUUUACCUUACCAUUUUUUGCCUUUCAGCUUGUAUACUUCCGUCAUGCUUACCACGUGAGCGACCCUAAGUAAGCCCAAUGUUCUAACCAAACAAUUAGUCAGGUCAAGGUGCAGCAGAUAAAAUGGCGGGAGAUGGGCUACACUUUCUAUUGUAGAAGACACGGAUGAUCAUCAUGCAACGAGAUCAGAAGGUGGAUUUAGUAGUAAAAAGAAAGAAGAGUGUUCUUUUUAACCCGGCACUGGGGCGUGUACACACCGCCCGUCACCCUCUUCGAAAAUUUAACGUAAAGUACUUAACACCUAAAUAUCAUAGAGAAGAGGCAAGUC